Molecule: ribosomal RNA, 693 nt
Filed under: uncultured bacterium
Lineage: Bacteria
Description: bacterial SSU rRNA
Rfam family: Bacterial small subunit ribosomal RNA
Source: RNAcentral
AGCGGCGAAAGGGAUAGUAACACGUAGAUCACGUGCCCUCGGGUCAGGGAUAGCGUCGGGAAACUGACGGUAAUACCAGAUAAUGUCUCCGGACCAAAGAUUUAUCGCCCGAGGAGCGGUCUGCGUCCUAUUAGCUAGUUGGUGGGGUAAUAGCCUACCAAGGCGAAGAUGGGUAGCGGGUGUGAGAGCACGACCCGCAUCACUGGGACUGAGAUACUGCCCAGACACCUACGGGUGGCUGCAGUCGAGAAUCUUCCGCAAUGGGGGAAACCCUGACGGAGCGACGCCGCGUGCGGGAUGAAGGCCUUCGGGUUGUAAACCGCUGUCGUAGGGGAGCAAAUUUUGAGCGAUCCUAGGAGGAAGCACCGGCUAAACUCGUGCCAGCAGCCGCGGUAAUACGAGUGGUGCAAACGCUAUUCGGAAUCACUGGGCUUAAAGGGUGCGUAGGCGGCCAUGAAGGUCUGAUGUGAAAUACCACGGCUCAACCGUGGAAUGGCAUUGGAAACCAUAUGGCUGGAGUGAGACAGAGGUGAGCGGAACAGAUGGUGGAGCGGUGAAAUGCGUUGAUAUCAUCUGGAACACCGGUGGCGAAAGCGGCUCACUGGGUCUUUACUGACGCUGAGGCACGAAAGCUAGGGGAGCAAACGGGAUUAGAUACCCCGGUAGUCCUAGCUGUAAACGAUGAGUACUAGU